Molecule: ribosomal RNA, 497 nt
Filed under: uncultured bacterium
Lineage: Bacteria
Description: partial 16S ribosomal RNA
Rfam family: Bacterial small subunit ribosomal RNA
Source: RNAcentral
GACGAACGCUGGCGGCGUGCCUAAUACAUGCAAGUUGAGCGCUGAAGGUUGGUACUUGUACCAACUGGAUGAGCAGCGAACGGGUGAGUAACGCGUGGGGAAUCUGCCUUUGAGCGGGGGACAACAUUUGGAAACGAAUGCUAAUACCGCAUAAAAACUUUAAACACAAGUUUUAAGUUUGAAAGAUGCAAUUGCAUCACUCAAAGAUGAUCCCGCGUUGUAUUAGCUAGUUGGUGAGGUAAAGGCUCACCAAGGCGAUGAUACAUAGCCGACCUGAGAGGGGGAUCGGCCACAUUGGGACUGAGACACGGCCCAAACUCCUACGGGAGGCAGCAGUAGUGAAUCUUCGGCAAUGGACGAAAGUCUGACCGAGCAACGCCGCGUGAGUGAAGAAGGUUUUCGGAUCGUAAAACUCUGUUGGUAGAGAAGAACGUUGGUGAGAGUGGAAAGCUCAUCAAGUGACGGUAACUACCCAGAAAGGGACGGCUAACUACGUG